CUCCCCUUUAUUCUUCCCUAUCUUCCUUCUUUCCUCUUUUCCUGACUUUCUCCUUUCUUUUCUUCCCCUCCCUACCUUCCUUCCAAUUGUCCUCUUUUCCUUUCUCCAUUCAUUACUUCCAUCCUUUCUAUCUUCCUUCCUUCCUUCCUUCCUUCCUUCAUUCCUUCCUUCCUUCCUCUUUCCUGCCUUUAUCUCUUCCUCCCUGCCUUCCUUCAUUUCUAUAUUUCUUCUUUUCUUUCUUCCUUCUUUCCUUCCUAUAUUCAUCCUAUUUUCUUCUUUCUACUUUUUCUCCUUGCCCUCCUUUUUUCUUUCUUCUUUAUUCCUUUUAUUCUCUUCUAUCUUCCUUCUUUCUUCAGUCCCUCCCUUUCUCCUUUCUUUUCUUCCUCCCUCCCUGACUUUCUUUUUCACUUCUCCACUUGUAGUCUCACACUUACUAGCUAUGGCCCAGGCAGGUCUCUUUAUUUCUCUGAGCCUUUGCUUCUUCAUCUAUAAAAUGAGUAUAAUAAUGCUUGCAUUGCCCAGGUGCAUUAUGAGAAAUGCAAUUGCUCUCACUUGCAUUCUCCCCUUUUCCCUUCUUUCCUUUCUUUUUCUCCCUUUCCUCCCUUCCCUCUCUUUUACUUCUCCCUUCUUUUCUCCUUCCCUCCCAGUGAAGCAUUUGGAAUAUCCAUUGGCUCUCUCUCAUUCUCACUAUUUGACUAGCAUAACUCCCUUUGCAAAAGUCUAGAAGCCUUGUUUCUGGACAGGAAAGACCCAGCUACACUUUGUCAACUUUUCAUUUUUCUGGUAUGCUGUCUAGCCCCAGGUGAUCUGGGAAUUUCAAUAUCUGAUAUCUGGAGUGACCAGCUCUUCUCACAGAUACACAGGUUCAACAAGCUCCAAAUAUAAAUAAUUUACAAGUUAUAGAAGGUGUUGUAAUAGAGUAGAACGACCAUUGGAUAUAGAAUCAAAGGAAAUAGGUUCAAAUCCAAUGUAAUGGACUUUGCUACUAAUAGCAAUGCAACAAGGCAGGACAUGCCUGAAGGACUUAUGGGAAAGAAUACACAU
Molecule: long non-coding RNA, 1044 nt
Filed under: Monodelphis domestica (gray short-tailed opossum)
Lineage: Eukaryota; Metazoa; Chordata; Mammalia; Didelphimorphia; Didelphidae
Description: lncRNA (ENSMODG00000049340.1)
Source: RNAcentral